GCAUAACGCGAAGAACCUUACCUAGGCUUGACAUGCAUCUCUAAGCACGUGAAAGCGUGUGACCCUUCGGGGAAUUGCACAGGUGCUGCAUGGCCGUCGUCAGCUCGUGUCGUGAGAUGUUGGGUUAAGUCCCGCAACGAGCGCAACCCUUGUGACUAGUUGCCAGCACGUCAUGGUGGGAACUCUAGUCAGACUGCCCAGAUCAACUGGGAGGAAGGUGGGGACGACGUCAGGUCAGUAUGGCCCUUACGCCUAGGGCUGCACACGUACUACAAUGCCCAGCACAAUGAGAACCGAGACCGCGAGGUGGAGGAAAUCUAAAAAACUGGGCCCAGUUCGGAUUGGAGCUGCAACUCGCCUCCAUGAAGUUGGAAUCGCUAGUAAUGGCGCACCAUCU
Molecule: ribosomal RNA, 397 nt
Filed under: uncultured bacterium
Lineage: Bacteria
Description: bacterial SSU rRNA
Rfam family: Bacterial small subunit ribosomal RNA
Source: RNAcentral